UGCAGGGAGGUUUACUCUCCCUCGAGGUAAGCGUCGAUGCAAUGGAUAUUGAUUUUGGCUUCGGUGCAAAUUGAGUACAGACGUUUCGGCAUCAUUUUAAAAUUGUUUGGUGUCCAUGAAUUUGCCGAUGAGCUUGGCGUGCACCAGCUGCCUCAUGUAGGAUUUUGGCGCUCGUGAUCUUCCUUGCUUAGCAAACUACUAUGGUUGCUGAUCCAUCACAAUAUUGACCAUGAACUUUGUGCAUCUCUGAGGUUCUUUUGCAUGAGGAAACGGAAGGAUAUCUUCGUCCUCAGCACAUCGGUGUCUAAGGCUGCUUCCUGUGUCACUGCGCCGGCAGAGUGCAAGAACAAACAUUAAUGUAUCAGUGUAGAUAAUUGUAUCUUUCUUUUUUCAUUGAUUUAAGAUACUCACAUAUAUAUGGUUACCAAUGCUCUACCGUACCUAAUUGUUGGUUCUAAUUGGCUUCUCUAUCAGAGAGUCAAGCCACAACUUUGACAAAUCUGCUAUCAUGUUCAGUAAAAAUACCAAGAAUGAUGUUCGAAAAGCUAUGCUGCACCA
Molecule: long non-coding RNA, 558 nt
Organism: Triticum aestivum (bread wheat)
Lineage: Eukaryota; Viridiplantae; Streptophyta; Magnoliopsida; Poales; Poaceae
Exons: 4
Source: RefSeq, a predicted model, not a curated record